AGAACGAACGCUGGCGGCAUGCCUAACACAUGCAAGUCGAACGAGACCUUCGGGUCUAGUGGCGCACGGGUGCGUAACGCGUGGGAAUCUGCCCAAAGGUUCGGAAUAACUCAGGGAAACUUGAGCUAAUACCGGAUGAUGUCGCAAGACCAAAGAUUUAUCGCCUUUGGAUGAGCCCGCGUAGGAUUAGCUUGUUGGUGAGGUAAAGGCUCACCAAGGCUACGAUCCUUAGCUGGUCUGAGAGGAUGAUCAGCCACACUGGGACUGAGACACGGCCCAGACUCCUACGGGAGGCAGCAGUGGGGAAUAUUGGACAAUGGGCGAAAGCCUGAAGCAGCGACGCCGCGUGCGGGAUGAAGGCCCUCGGGUUGUAAACCGCUUUCAGCAGGGACGAAAUUGACGGUACCUGCAGAAGAAGGCCCGGCCAACUACGCGCCAGCAGCCGC
This 446-nucleotide ribosomal RNA is filed under the name uncultured bacterium. RNAcentral's name for it is "SSU rRNA". It matches the Rfam family "Bacterial small subunit ribosomal RNA", at positions 26 to 518 of the family's 1533-position model. The record is from RNAcentral.